Molecule: long non-coding RNA, 6628 nt
Organism: Balaenoptera acutorostrata (minke whale)
Lineage: Eukaryota; Metazoa; Chordata; Mammalia; Artiodactyla; Balaenopteridae
Exons: 5
Source: RefSeq, a predicted model, not a curated record
CCCAUCAAUAACUUUUCAUAUUCUCAAACACAGUUACAGAUCCGUUUCCCCUGUGGAGCCAACGUUCUCCCUGCCCAGUUCAGCUCCUCCAGCUGCCGCAGAGGCUUGGUGCUUUCCAGGCCAGUGCUGAGCUGUCAUCCUGUGAGCCCCGCCUUCGCUGCUUUCUCGGGCUGGAUCCCUGUUUCCUGGACUUCAUGUCUGUCUGUUUCAUGAUCUACUCCCUCAUUUUGCUGAAGUAUAUCAUCCAACACCUUCAGAAAGAACACAAGCGAGUGACACAUGCUGGUGACAAGUGAAACCUUCCAGUACCUGACAUAAAAGGCAAAGAGGACUCGCUUUUCCUGGUCUUCUGUCACCAACACAUACCAUUGAGGAUUCUAUGGAUCAGGAAUUUGACCUGGGCAGAGAAGGGACAGCUGUCUCUUCUCCAUGGUGUCUGAGGCCUCCUCCGGGAAGACGCAAAGGCUGGAGCAAGAAUCAUCUGGAGGCUUCUUCACUUGACUAUCCGGCAGUUGCUGUUGGAUCCUCACUUGGGCUGUUGACCAGAACGUCCACAUGUGGGCUCUCCACCUGGGCUGCUCCUCUGAGCUCCCUCAUAGCAUGGCAGCUGAAUUCCAAGGGCAGCAUUCCAAGAGAGCAGAGCAGAGAACAUGGCUUUUUACAACGUAGCCCCAAAAGUCACAUUGCAUCGUUCGGUAUACUCAAUUGGUUGACGGAGGGGCGAUGCCGUUGUGCCCUCUUUGGAAAAUACAACCUGCCAUAGCACAUUGAUUCAUCUUCUACCUGCUUUUACAAUAUCUCAGUGACAAUCCCUAAAACUCAGUAAAGAUGUAAUUUUUCAAUUUUUCUCAUUUCUUUAUAAUGACAAAACUACUUUAAAUUCUAAAAGUAAUAUAAGUAUAGGAACAAAACUUGGAAAACAUAAAAAUCUCUUACAAUUCCCCCCCUUCAACCAAUCAUGGUAAUCAUUUUUAGACUUUUUAUUCCAUAAUUUCCUCAUAAUGUUCAUAGAGUUUAUGUUUGUUUUUUAAAAUUUCCCCUUAGCACAUAAGCCCCCAAAUUCACAUCUCAACAUUAAGUUAUCUUCUGUAUUUUUCUUGUGUGGACAAAGCAAAAAUAAGAGUAGGGUACACCACGGGAUAAGGUCUUCAGGUAGGGACUUGCUUAGCCUAAUCCUACUGACAACUACUAGGAAAAAUCACAUCAAGGCUUCAAGUCUUCCAUCUUCUUUCUAAGGAGCAUAAAGCAGAGGCAUAACACACUAACUCCAGAAAAGUAAUGUCAUGAGUGAGCUGUGCCUUCUGCCACGUUUGUGUAAGGAGCAGGCGACUGACCUCGGUGUGGGAUACCAGCUGGUGACCUUUCACUGUUCUCUGCUACAAAGGCUUGGCUUUGGGGUUUCAACAAAAUACGUGGAUCUAGCAAGUAAAGUUCGGCAAAGCCUGUGUCUCCCAAACUCAGCUCCAAACUAUCGCUGGUUUUCAUUGGCCUGCUGUGAAAUGACAAAAAUAACAACAGCGGGGUGAGUUUUUCAUAACAACAGCGGGGUGAGUUUUUCAUGAGCUAAAUGGAUUCAAUUUUUUAAAAGCUGGGCUUUAUUCAGAGAUCAUUCCUCUUUUAAAAAUGUCAAUAUUGGGAAUUCCCUGGUGGUCCAGUGGCUAGGACUUGGCAUUUUCACUGCCGUGGCCCAGGUUCAAUCCCUGGUCAGGGAACUAAGAUCUCAUAAGCCGCACAGCCAAAAUAAAGGAAUAAAUAAAUAAAAUAAAAAUAAAAAUGUCAAUAUUUUAUAACAUAAUUCUGAACAUAGAUUUUCUUAGCAUUCCUAAUUAGCAAGGUAAAAAGUUGGCAAAUCUAAACUUAGUUUCAAUCAUCUGACUGAUCUGUGACAUCCCAAAUUCUGAGAAACACUGAUCCCGUCUCCUUAUGAAGAGCCUUUGGGUGUGAUGUACAUUAUUUGUCAAACGGGAUUAUACUCUGAGGUUGGGGAAAAAAACUGCUUGACAUGGGAAGAGGAUGCAAAACUCUGGGCUCUGCUUGUGACGGUCCAGUUGUGUGGCCUUGAGCACAUCAUUUAUGCUCAGAGCCUCUUCAGCCAUCAAAUCCAGUCCACAACGCUGGCCUUCUCCACAGAGCAAGCGGGGGUGAAAGGCUUAAUUGUGGAAAGUGUAGAGAGCUGUGUAAGUGCUGAGCGUCUUAUUGCUGCAUCCUCGGAGCUUUCCCUCACAAAGACUGCUCAGUGGGCCCUGUAAUAGCUGGUGAAAAACGUGAGGAGGGACAUCCCAAGUAUUUCCCUGGGAGUUCCUAAUUUUAAUGAGAAGAAUAUUCUCUAAUUAAAAUGGCGCCGCAGAAAUUUUUUUAAAACAAAUUGCCAUCUAAUUUCCCUUUGAUCUGUUUUUUCCACUUGGGUUGCAAGGUUUUACAGAAUUUUCCCCAAACGCUUGGAGUCUGCAGUAAUUUUAUUUCAUUCUGAUUAAACUUCAAAGGAGAAAACACCAAGCCACCAGAACAAGCUCAGCUUUUUUCCACUUCAUUUAUUCAAUAAGCAUUCUCGGGGCAUCUGCAACGUGCCUGACAUUGUGCUGAGUGUUGCAGAUACAAAGAUGAAUAAAUACAACUCGGCCCUUGCCCUCGCUGGGUUCAGUGUUUCCAGGACUUGAUCAAGCCACAAACAAAACAUUGUAAUGCAAUGGGAUGACAGUAGAAACACCACCACACAGCCAUCUUCUGUAGGGUCUUGUGGGAGAAAAGUGGCGGCCCUGGCUAAGCUGACACUUUAAAUGAAACUUAAAGUGACUAAAAUUUAAUCAAAAGAAGGCAUGAAGGACAUCUCAGGCAGAAGAGACAACAGGUCCAGGGGUGGGAAAUGGCAUGGCCUCUGGUGUAUGUGCACGUAUGUAUGUGAUCAUGUCCAUGUGUAUGUAUAUGUAUGCAUCCAUGUAUGUGUGCAUGCCUGUGUUUGUGUGUGUGUGAUUGUGUUUCCAGAAUAGGAAAGGGCUGGAGUAGGUAUCAGAAGACUCUACUGCGUGGCGUGGGGACAGGCAAGUUAACCUGAAGCAAGCUGGCAGCAGCCUAUAUUCGCUGUGGGUCUCAGGGAAAGAGAUUCAAAAAUUUGCUUUAGACAACCUAGAAAGAAGAAUAAAACACUCCUACAUGGAAUGUUAAACUAAAUUUGACUUUAAUGCAUGUUUUGAACACACACCUGUUGGAGGCUCUGCAGACACCAGCGCUGACCCUGGAAAGAAGGACCCGAGUUCUCCUGUAGAGGUGACGCGGAGGUGCGAUCCAGGGCUGCUCAAGCCUUGAUGUCCAUAUGAAUCACUGGAGAUCUUGUCAAGGUGCAGAUUCUGACUCAGUGGCCUGGAUUCUGCAUUUCCAUCCAGCUCCCAGGUGAUGCGAGUGCUGCUGGUCCGCGGAGCACACUUUGAGUAGCGAGAUCAAAUGCACUUGUUGCCCGAUGGCCUGCCAACCUAGACCUGCCACAGGGGAUUCACUGCCCUCAGCUCAGCGCAGAGACCUCCAGAGGACCGUAUUCAGAUCCUCCCUUCAACCAGGCACAGGGCCCCACCCAGCAGGAGUCCAGGCCCUCUGGUCUGAGAGACCACAGACCUAGAAUUGAAGGGUGGAAGUGGGGAGGAAGGAGGCAGAAAUGGUGAGAUGGGGCUGGCACUUGCUCAGAAAAUAGGCCCAAGGGCUUCCCUGGUGGCGCAGUGGUUGAAAAUCUGCCUGCCGGUGCAGGGGACACGGGUUCGAGCCCUGGUCUGGGAAGAUCCCACAUGCCGCAGAGCAACUAGGCCCGUGAGCCACAACAACUGAGCCUGCGCGUCUGGAGCCUGUGCUCCGCAACAAGAGAGGCCGCGACAGUGAGAGGCCCGUGCACCGCGAUGAAGAGUGGCCCCCGCUUGCUGCAACUGGAGAAAGCCCUCGCACAGAAACGAAGACCCAACACAGCCAAAAAUAAAUAAAUAAAAUAAAGAAUUAUUCUAAAAAAAAAAAAAAAGAAAGAAAGAAAGAAAAUAGGCCCAGAGUGCUCCUGUGACAGGAAUUAAGUGAGACACUAGGGCCACAAGAAAAGGAAGCAGGAGCUCAGACAAGGGCCCAGGCAGAGCCUCAGCGUCAGGGCAAUGAACACUGAUCCUGUGCCAGGGACUGUCUUCAUGCUUUACACAGAUGUCACGUUCAUCUUCACCCAAAGCCCUUGCAAAGCAGACCGUAAAUCCCUGCUGACAGGUGAGGCACUUGAAGUGCAGAGCAGUUCCGUGAAUCACGCGACCACCCAGCAGGCACACCGUGAAGCCACAGCUCACACCCAGCUCUGCAGGAUCUGAAAGCCCAGGUCUUCCAGGGACCGCACACUUCCUGCUUUAACGAUGGACGAGAUCCAGGCCCUGUGCCUGGGCCUAAGGGGCCCUAGGCUAGGGUCUUUCGAUAUCUGAAUCCAAAAGCAAGUGAUGUCAGCCAUGAGUGUCAGGCCAGGAGGAAGCAGGUUAAGAGAAGUCGGCAUCUGAAGAAGACCUGGUGUCUGGAACUGGACCACCCUUGGACAAAGAGGCCCAGCCCUCCUGGUCCUGAAGGAGAUCUGCCUCCAUGUAGGCCAGCCAGGGGUCCAACACGGCCCUCAUGGUCUUGGUAUGUGCAGAGGUAGACAAACUGGUUAGUGGGCAUCUUAAAGCCAUCUUGGAUAGAAAUCUUGGCGGAAAUGGAAUAUGUGCCUGAGAAGAAGGAAGACAGAGCACUAAAUGGGAAGGACUGUCAUCCGACAAAUUGUCCUGAACACAGUGAUCAGCAAUUGGGAGCUGCUGUUACUAUUAUUAUUGUUGUUAUGGGGUGCUGUUUCUGUGCAUUGCUGCAGAACCAACCAGCGAUAUACUAGGAACAUUCCAGGCAUAAUUAGAUAUGAAAUAUUCCCAGGAAACCAAAGUCUAAAGGAGUCCAGCCAGGUAACUAAACAAACCAGCUGAAGCUUCAUGCUGUAUGAGGGAGGGGCAUUCAUCCCCCCAGCGUUUUGUAGUCACUGAUAUUCAGAUAUCAGGAUGCAGUUUGCACAUGGUCGCUGCUUAUGCCCACUGCUUCCUCCUCGUUGGGCUAUCAUAGUUCAAAAAUUGUAUUUCUAAAUGCCAGGAGCCUUCCUAUAGAAAGAGCCUGAGACUGGAGCUGAAAGACCCACUCUCCUCCUCACUGACACUCUCUCUUUCUCUUUACCCUUGAAAUGGAGACGACUGCACCUGUGGUACCUGCCUCAGGACCAAAGGAGAUGCAGUGAGUAGAAGGAGGAAAUUGGCGCAUUGUGGAGUAAAAUUCUGGAUUAAUUGCUGCUGAGUCAAGGAGAAAACCUGCACAGAGGACAAGGCCAGGGGGAAACUGUCAAAUGCCAGGGCCUUAGUGGAUGGCCCUCAGUCACUUUAUUUCUCACCUGGUUCGCUGGUGCAUCUGUGUGACCCUCUCUGCAUUCUGACAUCAUAAAGAACACAAUUCACAUUGGAAACCAAAGUACUCUGGCUACAGCAGGGACAGUGCGUAGGGCCUUUCCUUUUCCUGCUCCUACGGCCUCACCUCUGUGCCCAGGAGGAGGUGGAGAGAGGGGCUGGAAUCACCUGGGGCCCGAGGGUCGCCCCCGAAAGAAGGCCCCUCGGUUCCUCGAUGUGCGGUGAGGGCUUUGAGCCAGGACUUUGAACUGCUCAGCAAUUUCUUAGUAAGACGUGAGCACCAGAGUGUCAGCUGGAGCUUUAGGCUUUCGUCUGUGGUGGGCUGUUUUCCUGCCACGGUUGUUGUGGUUUACCGUCUACCUGAGUGUUCAAAACUGCUUUGCAGAAUCCAGUGACUGAGCUUCAGAUUUGGUACCACUCCUUCCCCGCCCAGCUGUGGCCCUUGGGACACACGUUCCACUGUGCGUCUCCUCCCACGCCCUGCUGCGUUUCCAUCGGGAGGAGAAUCAUUAGUGAACAGGCACCCACAUUGUCAGAUCUUCAGUGUGUAUUUCCAGGAAUGGUAAUUUGGGGAAAACUAAGAUAGGUCCCCAGACUGCUGUACCAAAGAUGAUUUCCCCAAACGGACAGUGGAGAUCAAUCAUAACACCACGCAGCCCAAGAAAGGACUCGGGACCUCAAAAGUCUUAGAAUUUUGGGAACCACGCCUAAUUUAUGCUCAGUAAAUAACCAUGAAUAUGUAAAAAAUUUUUCAAAAAUAAAGUCACAAGGAUAUUUAUUAGGAGUUUACCUAUAAUAACAAAAAAUGGGAAAAAAUCUAAAUAGCCGAUAGGUUAUUGAUUGAAUAAAUUAUGUUAUACUCGUAUUUUUGUCACAAUCAAUAACUAGCAAUUGUUGCAUGCUUACCAUGUCCUGGAUAUUAUGUAUUAGCUUUAUGUGUGUUAUUGCAUUUAGUCCUUAAAAUAACCCCAGGAACUUACACUUAGAGAGGUAAAAUUCCUUAUCCAUGAACACAGUGCUAAUAUAGUGAGAUAAACAGUGUCUCCCCAAAAUUCAUGUCCACCUGGAACCUCAGAAUGUGCCCUUGCUUAGAAAUAGCAUCUUUGCAAAGGUAAUUAAGGAUCUAAAGACAAAGUCACCCUGGAUUCACCUAUGACUGGUAUCCUUACAUGAGAAGAGAGAGAGCGAUUUGAGACCCACAGAGA